CAGCCGCCGCGGUAACACGGAGGGUGCAAGCGUUAAUCGGAAUUACUGGGCGUAAAGCGCACGCAGGCGGUCUGACAAGUCAGAUGUGAAAUCCCCGGGCUUAACCUGGGAACUGCAUUUGAAACUGUCAGGCUGGAGUCUUGUAGAGGGGGGUGGAAUUCCAGGUGUAGCGGUGAAAUGCGUAGAGAUCUGGAGGAAUACCGGUGGCGAAGGCGGCCCCCUGGACAAAGACUGACGCUCAGGUGCGAAAGCGUGGGGAGCAAACAGGAUUAGAUACCCCCGUAGUCCCGUCUCUUAUACA
This 301-nucleotide ribosomal RNA is filed under the name uncultured bacterium. Its description in RNAcentral is "partial 16S ribosomal RNA". It matches the Rfam family "Bacterial small subunit ribosomal RNA", at positions 509 to 808 of the family's 1533-position model. The record is from RNAcentral.